Molecule: ribosomal RNA, 253 nt
Filed under: uncultured bacterium
Lineage: Bacteria
Description: partial 16S ribosomal RNA
Rfam family: Bacterial small subunit ribosomal RNA
Source: RNAcentral
UACGAAGGGGACUAGCGUUGUUCGGAAUUACUGGGCGUAAAGCGCGUGUAGGCGGCUUUGCAAGUCGGGUGUGAAAGCCCUCAGCUCAACUGAGGAAGUGCGCCCGAAACUGCAGAGCUUGAGUACCGGAGAGGAUGGUGGAAUUCCCCAAGUAGAGGUGAAAUUCGUAGAUAUGGGGAGGAACACCGGUGGCGAAGGCGACCAUCUGGACGGAUACUGACGCUGAGACGCGAAAGCGUGGGUAGCAAACAGG